This 366-nucleotide unclassified non-coding RNA is filed under the name Hevea brasiliensis (rubber tree). Lineage: Eukaryota; Viridiplantae; Streptophyta; Magnoliopsida; Malpighiales; Euphorbiaceae. The record is from RNAcentral.
AUUCCCUCUCGCGCCAUCUCGACAGCGGCGCGCUGAAUGAAUUGACACUAACGACCAACGGUUCGCUGCUCGAGAAAUUUGCUGCCGAGCUCAAGGACAACGGGGUACGUCGUAUCAACGUCUCGCUUGAUACCCUCGACGCCGCGAAAUUCCGGGCCAUUACGCGAUGGGGCGACCUCGACAAGGUGCUGCGCGGCAUCGAGGCGGCACGCUCCGUGGGUCUUAAGGUCAAGAUCAACGCAGUGGCGCUCAAGAAUUUGAACGAGGACGAGAUCCCCUCGCUGAUGGAGUGGGCGCACGGCAAGGACAUGGACCUCACCCUGAUCGAGGUCAUGCCGAUGGGCGAUAUCGGCGAAGGCCGGAUCG